GAGAGCGUAGCUCAGCUGGUAGAGCAACUGACUUUUAAUCAGUAGGUCCCGGGUUCGAACCCCGGCGCUCUCA
RNAcentral lists this transfer RNA (73 nucleotides) under Rhizobium azibense. RNAcentral's name for it is "tRNA-Lys". It matches the Rfam family "tRNA". From Rfam's summary of the family: Transfer RNA (tRNA) molecules are approximately 80 nucleotides in length. Their secondary structure includes four short double-helical elements and three loops (D, anti-codon, and T loops). The record is from RNAcentral. Lineage: Bacteria; Pseudomonadati; Pseudomonadota; Alphaproteobacteria; Hyphomicrobiales; Rhizobiaceae.